AUUGAACGCUGGCGGCAGGCCUAACACAUGCAAGUCGAACGAGUGGCGGACGGGUGAGUAAUGUCUGGGAAACUGCCUGAUGGAGGGGGAUAACUACUGGAAACGGUAGCUAAUACCGCAUACCAUCAGAUGUGCCCAGAUGGGAUUAGCUAGUUGGUGGGGUAACGGCUCACCAAGGCGACGAUCCCUAGCUGGUCUGAGAGGAUGACCAGCCACACGGGAAGUGAGGCACGGUGCAGAAUCCUACGGCAGGCAGCAGGGGGGAAGAUUGCACAAUGGGCGCAAGCCUGAUGCAGCCAUGCCGCGUGUAUGAAGAAGGCCUUCGGGUGGGAAAGUACUUUCAGCGGGGAGGCGUUACCCGCAGAAGAAGCACCGGCUAACUCCGUGCCAGCCGCCGCGGUAAUAG
This 406-nucleotide ribosomal RNA is filed under the name uncultured bacterium. RNAcentral's name for it is "partial 16S ribosomal RNA". It matches the Rfam family "Bacterial small subunit ribosomal RNA", at positions 29 to 526 of the family's 1533-position model. The record is from RNAcentral.